Camellia sinensis is the source of this 553-nucleotide non-coding RNA. Lineage: Eukaryota; Viridiplantae; Streptophyta; Magnoliopsida; Ericales; Theaceae. The record is from RefSeq and is a predicted model, not a curated record.
CUGUCAAGUGUCCUGUAUCUGGAAUCAUCAAGCAGAGAAAAAUUCAAGGACAAGAUUGCUUGGAGGUUUCCUAGGAAGAAAUGCAUGGGUGGGCUUAACACCUCAAUAGUUCCAGCUGAUCUCAUUGAGAGGAUCCUUGGCGAGCAAGUGCAAAUUGCUCGUGAAAAUAGCACUAAUGUCAUGCUGUACAAAAUUGCUUUGUCCAUUAUUUAGAUGGAUGAACUCGUGCACAAAGCUAAAUUGUACAAGACUAAUUGGCGCUAUAAGCAUUUUUGGAAGUAUUAUAUAUUUUUAGAUAGAUGUAUAUGGAAUAUAUUUCGAUAGACUAGUAGUUAUAUUUUUUGAUGGGUGUAUAUGGAAAUAUUUGGAUAGACUAGUUGUAUUUUUUGAUAGAUGUGCAUGGAUAAAAGUUUAAAUUGAAAGAAUAUGUACUUUGGAAUUACUUGUGGAUGGAAACUUAUAAUAGUUGCUGAUUUUUAUUAAACAGGUUAAAGAUUUGAUGAUUUAUGUAUUUCGUUGAAUGUUCAUGAUUUAGAUACUUUGUUGGUAUGAA